Molecule: ribosomal RNA, 1446 nt
Filed under: Triticum aestivum (bread wheat)
Lineage: Eukaryota; Viridiplantae; Streptophyta; Magnoliopsida; Poales; Poaceae
Description: partial small subunit ribosomal RNA
Source: RNAcentral
AUGAGCCGCCCGCACGCGGUGCUUAUCCCGUACCCGGCGCAGGGCCACGUGACGCCGCUGCUGAACCUCGCCAAGGUGCUGCACUCGAGGGGCUUCUACGUCACCUUCGUCAACUCGGAGUACAACCACCGGCGCCUGCUCCGGUCGCGCGGCGAGGACUCGCUGGCCGGCCUCGACGACUUCCGGUUCGAGACCAUCCCGGACGGCCUGCCGCCGAUGGAGAACGAGGACGUCACGCAGGACGUCCCCGCGCUCUGCACGUCCUUCGCCACGCACGGCGCCGCGCUCUUCAGGGAGCUCCUGGCGAGGAUCGACGGCGACGGGAGGCCGCCGGUGAGCUGCGUGGUAACGGACGGGGUGAUGAGCUUCGCGCUGGAGGUGGCCGGCGAGAGGGGCGUCCCGGCGUUGGUGUUCUGGACCACCAGCGCGUGUGGGUUCAUGGGGUACCUCCACUUCUUCGAGCUCGUCGAGAGAGGCUUCGUGCCACUCAAAGAUGAGAGCUACCUGACCAACGGAUACCUCGACACGGCGCUCGACUGGGUGGCCGGGAUGCCGGGCAUAAGGCUGCGAGACUUCCCCAGCUUCGUCCGCACGACCGAGCGGGACGACGUCAUGCUCAACUUCGACGGCGGCGAGGCGCAGAACGCGCACCGCGCGCAGGGCGUCAUCCUCAACACGUUCGACGCGGUGGAGCAGGACGUGGUGGACGCGCUCCGCGGCAUCUUCCCGCGCGUGUACACGGUCGGCCCGCUCCCGGCGUUCGCGGUGACCGCGGCGCGGGCGCGGCCGGAGCUGGGCGCGAUCGGCGGCAACCUCUGGAAGGAGGACACGAGCUGCCUCCGGUGGCUGGAUGCCCAGAAGCAGCCAGGCUCGGUCGUGUACGUCAACUUUGGCAGCAUCACCGUCAUGUCGCCGGCCCACCUGGCGGAGUUCGCGUGGGGCCUGGCGCGCUGCGGGCGGCCGUUCCUGUGGGUCAUCAGGCCGGACCUCGUGGCCGGCGACAAGGCCGUGCUGCCGGAGGAUUUUCUCGCCGAGACGAAGGGCCGAGGGAUCUUCCUGAGCUGGUGCCCGCAGGAAGAGGUGCUGGGGCAUCCGGCGACCGGGCUGUUCCUGACGCACUCCGGGUGGAACUCGACGCUGGAGAGCAUCUGCGCGGGCGUGCCGAUGGUCUGCUGGCCCUUCUUCGCGGAGCAGACGACCAACUGCCGGUACGCCUGCGCCGAGUGGGGCAUCGGGCUGGAGAUCGAUAGCGAUGUCAAGCGGGAGGAGGUGGCAAGGCUCGUGCUGGAGGCCACGGACGGCGAGAGAGGCAAGGACAUGAGAGCGAAGGCGACGAUGUGGAAGGAGAAGGCCGCGGCGGCGGCAGAGGACGGCGGGACUUCGACCCUUGGCAUCGACCGCCUCGUCGCAUUCUUGCUUGGAGGGACCGAUGGUCCUCAAAGCUGA